This 253-nucleotide ribosomal RNA is filed under the name uncultured bacterium. RNAcentral's name for it is "partial 16S ribosomal RNA". It matches the Rfam family "Bacterial small subunit ribosomal RNA", at positions 524 to 776 of the family's 1533-position model. The record is from RNAcentral.
UACGAAGGGGGCUAGCGUUGCUCGGAAUUACUGGGCGUAAAGCGCACGUAGGCGGAUUGUUAAGUCGGGGGUGAAAUCCCGGAGCUCAACUCCGGAACUGCCUUCGAUACUGACGAUCUUGAGUCCGGGAGAGGUGAGUGGAACUGCGAGUGUAGAGGUGAAAUUCGUAGAUAUUCGCAAGAACACCAGUGGCGAAGGCGGCUCACUGGACCAUUACUGACGCUGAGGCACGAAAGCUAGGGGAGCAAACAGG